GACGAACGCUGGCGGCGUGCUUAACACAUGCAAGUCGAACGGAAAGGCCCUGCUUUUGUGGGGUGCUCGAGUGGCGAACGGGUGAGUAACACGUGAGUAACCUGCCCUUGACUUUGGGAUAACUUCAGGAAACUGGGGCUAAUACCGGAUAGGAGCUCCUGCUGCAUGGUGGGGGUUGGAAAGUUUCGGCGGUUGGGGAUGGACUCGCGGCUUAUCAGCUUGUUGGUGGGGUAGUGGCUUACCAAGGCUUUGACGGGUAGCCGGCCUGAGAGGGUAACCGGCCACAUUGGGACUGAGAUACGGCCCAGACUCCUACGGGAGGCAGCAGUGGGGAAUAUUGCACAAUGGGCGGAAGCCUGAUGCAGCAACGCCGCGUGCGGGAUGACGGCCUUCGGGUUGUAAACCGCUUUCGCCUGUGACGAAGCGUGAGUGACGGUAAUGGGUAAAGAAGCACCGGCUAACUUCGUG
Molecule: ribosomal RNA, 468 nt
Filed under: uncultured bacterium
Lineage: Bacteria
Description: partial 16S ribosomal RNA
Rfam family: Bacterial small subunit ribosomal RNA
Source: RNAcentral